GAUGAACGCUGGCGGCGUGCCUAAUACAUGCAAGUCGAGCGAACAGACGAGGAGCUUGCUCCUCUGACGUUAGCGGCGGACGGGUGAGUAACACGUGGAUAACCUACCUAUAAGACUGGGAUAACUUCGGGACACCGGAGCUAAUACCGGAUAAUAUAUUGAACCGCAUGGUUCAAUAGUGAAAGACGGUUUUGCUGUCACUUAUAGAUGGAUCUGCGCCGCAUUAGCUAGUUGGUAAGGUAACGGCUUACCAAGGCGACGAUGCGUAGCCGACCUGAGAGGGUGAUCGGCCACACGGGAACUGAGACACGGUCCAGACUCCUACGGGAGGCAGCAGUAGGGAAUCUUCCGCAAUGGGCGAAAGCCUGACGGAGCAACGCCGCGUGAGUGAUGAAGGUCUUCGGAUCGUAAAACUCUGUUAUGAGGGAAGAACAAAUGUGUAAGUAACUAUGCACGUCUUGACGAUACCUAAUCAGAAAGCCACGGCUAACUACGUG
RNAcentral lists this ribosomal RNA (497 nucleotides) under uncultured bacterium. RNAcentral describes it as "partial 16S ribosomal RNA". It matches the Rfam family "Bacterial small subunit ribosomal RNA", at positions 28 to 507 of the family's 1533-position model. The record is from RNAcentral.